GCGGAGGAAAAGAAACUAACAAGGAUUCCCUCAGUAACGGCGAGUGAAGCGGGAAGAGCUCAAAUUUAAAAUCUGGUUUACUUGUAAAUCCGAGUUGUAGUCUGAAGAAACGUUUUCCAUAAGCACUGAGGCAAAAGUCCCUUGGAACAGGGCAUCAUAGAGGGUGAGAAUCCCGUCCAUGGUCUCAAGUUGUUUAUUUUGUGAUACGUUUUCAAAGAGUCAGGUUGUUUGGGAAUGCAGCCUAAAAUGGGUGGUAAAUUUCAUCUAAAGCUAAAUAUUGGCGAGAGACCGAUAGCGAACAAGUACCGUGAGGGAAAGAUGAAAAGAACUUUGAAAAGAGAGUUAAACAGUACGUGAAAUUGUUGAAAGGGAACCGUUUGAAGCCAGUCUUACUUGCUCGUGAUCAAUUUUUGCUUCGGCAUGAAUGCACUCUCGGGUAUGGUAGGCCAACGACAGUUUGGAAUGCGAGAAAAAAAUAGGGGAAAUGUGGCCUUCGGGUGUUAUAGUUCUCUAUAAAAUAUCGUGUUCUGGACUGAGGAUCGCAGCAAAAAUGUGGGCAGAUGGAUUUCUGUGGUGACUGUCGGUUAGGACAACUUGUUGACCUAGUCUUCCUUAGCCUCACUAUUUAUCUUGCUUCUAAUUUGCUUAGGUCGUUGGCAUAAUGGCUUUAAAUGAC
Molecule: ribosomal RNA, 676 nt
Filed under: Umbelopsis swartii
Lineage: Eukaryota; Fungi; Mucoromycota; Umbelopsidomycetes; Umbelopsidales; Umbelopsidaceae
Description: eukaryotic LSU rRNA
Rfam family: Eukaryotic large subunit ribosomal RNA
Source: RNAcentral